ACCUUGCUGACGAGUGCCAGAUAGCACGAGACCCGGGUCCAGGGU
RNAcentral lists this non-coding RNA (45 nucleotides) under Schistosoma curassoni. Lineage: Eukaryota; Metazoa; Platyhelminthes; Trematoda; Strigeidida; Schistosomatidae. The record is from RNAcentral.